This 704-nucleotide ribosomal RNA is filed under the name Eriocrania sp. ER12. Its description in RNAcentral is "SSU rRNA". It matches the Rfam family "Eukaryotic small subunit ribosomal RNA", at positions 493 to 1152 of the family's 1831-position model. RNAcentral also lists the same sequence under 1 other name. The record is from RNAcentral. Lineage: Eukaryota; Metazoa; Arthropoda; Insecta; Lepidoptera; Eriocraniidae.
AUAUGAGGCCUCGUAAUCGGAAUGAGUACACUUUAAAUACUUUAACGAGGAACAAUUGGAGGGCAAGUCUGGUGCCAGCAGCCGCGGUAAUUCCAGCUCCAAUAGCGUAUACUAAAAUUGUUGCGGUUAAAAAGCUCGUAGUUGCACCUGUGCGCCGCGCUGUCGGUGCACCGCAUCCGCGGUGACCACUGGCACGUCGCGGGGCAUCACGUCGGUGAGACUCCGGUAAAACGGAGGCUCAAUUGAAACAAUCCUAUCGCGGUGCUCUUCACCGAGUGUCGAGGUGGGCCGACAAUACUUACUUUGAACAAAUUAGAGUGCUCAAAGCGGGCUAAAAACGCCGCUCGAAUAUUUUUUGCAUGGAAUAAUGGAAUACGACCUCGGUUCUAUUUUGUUGGUUCUCGGAAUCCGAGGUAAUGAUUAAUAGGAACAACUGGGGGCAUUCGUAUUGCGACGUUAGAGGUGAAAUUCUUGGAUCGUCGCAAGACGGACUACAGCGAAAGCAUUUGCCAAAGGUGUUUUCAUCAAUCAAGAACGAAAGUUAGAGGUUCGAAGGCGAUUAGAUACCGCCCUAGUUCUAACCAUAAACGUUGCCACCUGGCGAUCCGCCGACGUUACUAUAAUGGCUCGGCGGGCGGCCUCCGGGAAACCAAAGUUUUUGGGCUCCGGGGGGAGUAUGGUUGCAAAGCUGAAACUUAAAGGAA